This is a long non-coding RNA of Dreissena polymorpha, 3120 nucleotides long. RefSeq lists it as uncharacterized. The record is from RefSeq and is a predicted model, not a curated record. The transcript is spliced from 2 exons. NCBI's taxonomy places the organism in Eukaryota, Metazoa, Mollusca, Bivalvia, Myida, Dreissenidae.
GUUCAGGUCACGUGACGUUAUCGUGUAAUCGGAGUGGAAAUGGCCAGAAUUACUGGUGUGAAAUAAACCGUUUUUUUUACCGUUUCAAAGAUUGUUUCAUAGAAAUAAAGGUUAUCUAUUAUAAAAUUAAUAUUUGUUUUAACUAUAAAUGACAUUUUUAAACUAUAACGAGUUUUAGAAACCUUUUUAAACUUUAUCUAGAAAUGCGCCGAUUCGACGACGUUCUGCAUGUUUAGUGUAUUACGGCCGCGGUUUAGUCUGUUCUUUAAGAGGUAGUCGUUUUUUGAUUGGCUAUCCGGGAGCUGUUUGAUGACGUAUCGCUUUGUAAAGCCAAUGAAAUAAAAGAUAACACUCCAAGCUACAUGGUGAUAUAUUUUCGCAUGGCGUAUGACCUUUAGAAGUUGGUGAAAAUGUAAACAGAAAAAAGUCAUCGGAGAAUUUUACGAUAAAUAAGACCUUUUCAGGGACUUAUGUCAUGAAGUUAUGACUUAUCGUCUUAUGUCAAUACUCAAUAGACUGUAUUGUUUGAGUCAAAGAUUAGGUGUCUUAAAAUGGCUGGGAUUUUAUUAGGUACAUUAAAUUCCACAUUUAAUUGUUCUUGUUUAUCUUUGACUUUGUUUGUUUUGUUUAUCUUUGUGUUCAAAUAUAAAUAACAGCAGACUUGUGAUGCUCACAUUCACAAUAAAAAGUAUAGAUCAAGACCUAAAUUUAUAUCAUAAAUGAUGUCCCGGGAGUUUAAUUACGUCGUUAAAUAUGCUUGAUUUUACAAAAGUUAAUCGCUACGUAUGUCAUAACUGUUUUGAUCCUUGUGCCCAUGCAUAAACGCAUGCAUUUUAUAUUAGUUUUCAACCCCCAAGUAUUCGUGAUAAAAAGGUCAUAUUCAUGGUAAUGUUAUACGGAAAUAAAUAUAUCCUUCUAUAGAUAUAAUUAAUAAUAUCAUUUUGAUGAUUUUCUCAACUUAUAUCCAACCAUAAUUUCUUUUUAAUGUAUUAAAUGGUAUAUGUGCUCCUUUGGUGUAUCUUUUUGAAAUUGACAAUUUUGCUGUUAUUUAUAAUUGCGAGUGAAAGAAAAUUGAAAGAGCAUGGUUCUUUGUGGUUAAUUCUUUUUGUUUCAGUUCCACAUGUUGUGGAUUGUGACUGUGGGCAGUUGUGACCAUGUUCUGUUUUGAAGAGUGGAGUAGUAAAAAACCAUGAAGCCAUCGUGAUGAGCCAUGAUGUGGAUAUAAACAGGGCUAUUCUUAUUUUUUUUUUCUUCACAUUUAUAAUUUGUAUACAUGUACUGCUGGUCGGGACAUGUAGAAGCAUAACUUACAACUUAUAAUUUAAUUCUGAAAUUGAAGAAAAUUAACAAACUAAAUUCCUAAGCCUAGCAUGCUAGGCUUUUAGGUUUAACUUACUAUUUAACAUUUAAGUAGCAGUGAUUCACUUAAAAAAAAAAAAUUACAUGACUUUAUUUACAUACUUUACCAUAAAAUAUUUACAUAACAUGCCGUCAUGCGUUUAAAAGGCCCAGUUGUUUCUGAUUAAUACUAGCCCGUGUCUAGCGUGCUAUAUUUAUAACUUUAAAGCCGUCCUGCUAUUAUGACACAAGGCGUGCCAAUAUGACAAGACCGCACACACCAGCUUAAUAUUUAACUUUUUAGCUAUUGAUGCGUCUAUUUUUGCCAUUUCAGAAUCGCAUAACCUUGAUACCGGGAAACAGGCCUUGACCAACAAAGAUGUUAUCACAGCUUUUGAACAAUUUUGUUGCGGGAAAAUUACUUUUAAAUCUUCUUUGUGCGAGUUCAAAGAGAGGUAUGGUACUCAGGUUUGUGAUCAAACUGAGGCCAGUCUGAGAAUGAAGAUUAGUAAAUUGUACAAAAGGGAAAGAAAACUUGUGAUUAUUGACAUGGAGAAAGGUGAUCUGAUACUGUCAUAAUUGAGUCAAAGUAUUUUGUUUGUAUCCAGGUAUGGUUACAAAAAUAUUAUUUUAAAAAUAUAUAUAAUGCUCAAAGGAUUUCUUGACUUAAAUAUUGUGUCAAUAGAUGACAGUUUUAAAAGGGGAGGACACUGGAGACAUUGUUAUUUAUUUAAUAAUGAUGAUGAUGAUAAUGAAAGAAGUUUUAUAUAUAAUAAAUAUAGUUUUGAUUAUCAAUCUAACAUGCGCAAGGUUAUGUGCCUUACAGAGUAAUUUCACCACGGCAUGAGAAUGCUGCUUAAAACUGAAAAUUGUUAUUUCACUAAAGAUGUACUAAAAGAAACUGAAGUAUUUGUAUAUUUUAGUCACUGCUCUUUCUUUUUCAGAACUUAGUUUUCACAAAAAGCAUGAACAAAAUGUCAUGUUUUAAUCUGAAUAAUACCUUAAUAUAAGAAGUGAGAGAGACAAAGGAUGUAAGGUUGAUUGAAGGGACUUUUUGCGCGUACACUAUUGUUAAUACACUGUUGUUAUUGUACCUCAUUAAUUUUAAAUUGUUGGUUGCUAUGGAAACAGCUUUCUGCAUAACCUUAAGUUUCACAAUAUACCAUUCUCAGUAAGAGAAGUCAUUUGGAAGUACAUACUUAUGAAACCAAUCAAACACUUUUCACAAAUACCUUUUUUCGCACUUUUUAAAAUUUUUGGGUGUUUUGACUUGUUUCUAUGGCAACCCUUUUUCACUGUUCUUUGCAAAUAGAUGCAUGUACAUGUCAUGUGCAGUGAUGUAUGGUUAUCAAAUUGAUAGUGUUUUGUGCUGAUUAUGAGUAUUGGGAUAAGAGUUUUAUUGAACCUAAAUUAUUUACAAAUUGCGUAGUUUUAUGCUUUCAAUUCUUCCUUUUAUGCUUUUGAUUUUGGUUGCUAUGGAGACAGAUUCCGUAAAAUGUUGCUAAAUAUUAUUAGUAAUGGUCUUAACUUUGCAAACCACCAUAUGUAAAAGUCUUUUGUCUUUUAAUUGACAAAAAAUAUUUAAUAUUAGCAAUUUUCAUAUUGUAUGCUUUUAUUACCCGUUUCCAUGGCAACGGUUUUUUCUGUUAUAUGACUGGAUUUUCGUAAAAAAUUGUCAUAACUUGUUAAAAAAUAUCACUGAUCAAAUUACCUUUCUAAAAAUGUAUACUUUAUUAUGCAUUUACUGAAUAAGCUUAGCUGAAAUAACAUUUAAAGAACAAA